Non-coding RNA from Cucumis sativus (cucumber), 198 nucleotides. Lineage: Eukaryota; Viridiplantae; Streptophyta; Magnoliopsida; Cucurbitales; Cucurbitaceae. The record is from Rfam.
UUAGGGUUAAGAGAGCUUUCUUCAGUCCACUCAUGGGUGGCGGUAGGGUUUAAUUAGCUGCCGACUCAUUCAUUCAAAUAUUGAGUCCAAAAAUUUCAAAUCUCAAAUGGAUUCACUAAACGAUUGAAUGAUGCGGGAGACAAAUUGAAUCUUAAGCUUCCUGUACUUGGACUGAAGGGAGCUCCCUUUUCUUUCUAU